GGAGAAGUAGUCUAAUUGGCUAAGGCGUCGGUCUUGAAAACCGAUGGGGUUAAUAGCCCCAUGUGGGUUCGAGUCCCACCUUCUCCGCCA
This 90-nucleotide transfer RNA is filed under the name Petrotogaceae bacterium. RNAcentral describes it as "tRNA-Ser". It matches the Rfam family "tRNA". Rfam says of the family: Transfer RNA (tRNA) molecules are approximately 80 nucleotides in length. Lineage: Bacteria; Thermotogati; Thermotogota; Thermotogae; Petrotogales; Petrotogaceae. The record is from RNAcentral.